GUCACGAUGACGCGGGCGUGAUGUGGCUGAUUCAGACGUUUAGCAUCGCGGUUGAGUUCUCGUUGGAGAAUUUGCCUUCGGGUUAUUGUAAUUCUCUGGGGGACAAUCGAGCAGGUAAUCAGAUAAAACGCCACAGUUACGUUACUUUGGAGUUUCCUAGCCUGAAGAUGUCAGCCGUGCUUAUUUGAAGUUAUAGCUAACGUUAGCUCUUGAAAAUCCUUUAAAAAUAAAGCAAAGAAUAAACGAGGCGCCGUUUUUGGCAGCUGUGGUUAGUGGGGUUUAACCCUAACUACUCUACAAUAACGUGCUAUAUAAUUUAGUAUGAGAUGUGCUCACUGUCAGUGCUGUAGUGGUAAAAUUAGAGGUGGGUAAACUCUGAAUUUUGCGAUCAUACAGACCUCGACGCGAUGCGAAGCAACGCAACACAAAGCGGCUAUAUUGCAUUAUGUUAUCAGUAAAAGUCAUAUACAAUCAAUGACAAUGAAUAAAUGUGUUAGUAGUUUGAAGUUUAUUAAAUUUAAGAAAACAGUAAAGAAAAGUAUGUCAACACAACAACACAAUUGCAGAUUAAGAACUAUCUACAUAUGGAGUCUCCUCUUUACAGUAGUGCCCAGAGGGCCUCCUUGUCCUCCACGUCAGGUCCUGCCUUGCACAGAGGAGCCAUGAACAACAGCAAAAAGAAAACACCACACAGACAACUUGCUUGCCCCUAAAGAUGCAUUUGGUCGCUUAAUUGUGAUCAGUUCAAUAGUUCAACCAAAAGUAGAUUGUUGUUUUUACAUUUUAAACACUAUUGCUAAACCACUUGUACAUAAAAAUGAUCACAAUGCUCUUUGGUCCUUAUUUUUGAAGAUGGUUCCACAGUUAUGGAAAAUAGGAGAUGGACUUGUAGCUCUUGGGACUUGGGCUCAUGCCAGUCUGCACUGAUCAAUGAACCCUUGUCCAUUAAAUGAAGACAGCAGCUAAUUUCAGGUAUGGAUGGAUGAUUGCCUCUUCUGUAUCUGGCUUUCAAAGCCCUCUCGCUGGACCAAGGAGGAGGGCAGCUUGACCUGAGGAGUUCACAUAAGGUCUUCUACUUCAGAAGAAAAAAACAGAACAUUAGAGGGAAUGAGCCCAUGCAUGUAAACAGCACCUAACAGGACACCCUGACCGUAGCACUGUGAACCAAUGUUAUUACUAAAUACUACUUGAAUGAAUGGACAAUAUUGAGCGACAAUACAAAAGAGCUUUAAAAGAUUGUUGCAUGCACGGUAAUGUGGAAACAUUUAGUAUGCCUGAGACCGAUUGUGUAUUAAGAUGAAGAAUCAAAUUGAAUCAGCCACAUUCGACUCAUAUGAGCAUCAUGAUAAUCAUUCAAUAGGUCCGGAAAGUAACUUCCCCAGUUGUAAAAUCGAAUUGGGCGUUAAUUUGGGAGUUUUUCUGUUUAUAAAUUAGCUUUAUCUAAUCAAUUGUUCCUUUAUAAUUUGAUAUAUCCCAACAGACAACAAUUAUGUUUCAGACGUCAGAGCACAAUUCUGAUAAUAACUGUGAAUUCCUUUUUUAUUUAUUUGUUGGGGUUAUAACAAGUCAAAGUUGAAUAUAAUUGUGUUUAUUCUCAAGUAAACCUGCCAUGUGUAAUUCAUGUUUUUUUUUUUAACUGGACAGGACAGGAUACAGAACAUAACCAUAUUUUGUUUCUGACUAAUUUUCUAAAACAUAUGUUGAUGAGGUUUUUGUGUUCAUUUUAUAGAAGUUGCUAAGAGAAGGUGUUUCAAUGCUUCUUUUGUAUCACCAAGACUGACAUCUGGAGGAUAAAACAAAGAGCUGCAAGUGUUUCAGACUUCUUUUCUUUUUGGAAUUCUGAGGAAUUAGUUUUUUGGAAACACUAAUGAACCCCUUGCGUGUCCUUUGCGUGCCCUUUUCACACCAAAACCCAUUCAUUCUCUAUGGUUGUGCUAAACCACUGCGGGUGUAAUAUAUCUUUGGCCACCGGUGGCGCUGUUGUGCGGACCGAGCGUUUGCCCGGAUGUAAAGCGUUUCUCCGGUCAUUCUCCGUCAGUCUACCCGGGAUAGAGCACCGAAGCGACGGUGCACCUUCGUCGGACCUCGCGCUAUGAGGAAGUCACUAAACAGUAAGUCAAUGACAUUUAAUGUGUAAUAAUUAUUAAGAUAAAUAUGCAGCAUGACUAUAAAUAUAAUUUAUGUUGGUGUCACGCCACAUGUUAGUUUAUAGUUGUGUUCACGUGUGUUUGACUGCAUUAAUUACUAGUUGCAUAUCACAGAUGUUACUCAACUAAUAAAUGAGGAUCUUGUAAUAGAUUAAACCACCAGAAUUGUUUAAAGUCAGUCAAAUUUAAACACAUUAAUGCCUCAAUGAUUAGGAUAAUAUAUGAUAUAUUUGGCAUCACGACUAGUUUUAAUCUUACUUUAAAAAAAGUUAAUUUAACUUAAAGUUAAUUUAAGUCCCUGAAGCCCAUGUACUGGGGACUGGCACAGCGCUGCAGCGCUGCAGGCAUAGAAAAGGCACAAUAACAGUGGGUAGACAGGUAAAUUAUAUCAAUAUUUUUAACCAUCAUUGGUGACACAAACAGCUCAUAGUAACAACUUAGAUUACUUUUCAUUUUUUUCAGUUUCAUUAAAGAAAAGCCCUUUGCAUUCAAUUUUAUUUUGAUGACCAUAUCCACCGGUGCACACAUGGUGGUCUAUAUGACUGCUGUCACAUCGAUGGCUUUCCUUUUCUUUUUUCUUUCAGGGAUUGCUGUGUUGCACUUAAGGUGGCAGAGUCGUCUGCAGGAGAACAUCUGAAAUGGGAUUCUUGGAGAACAAGAGAUUGCCAAUGUCACGUCUGGCAACCAUCACAUUUUAAUGCAAACAUUAAUAUCAAGCUGGACUUGUUUCACUGCAUGAGGCGGUUCCUCCGUGAGUGUGUGUCGGUGGCAUCCCGCCCUGUACAGUUCCUUUGCUCAGUUCCUUUGCUCAGUUCCUCUGGACUGGGACAAGCACAACAGCAAGACAGAUCACACCCAGGCCCCGAAUCCACCUCCUCAAAGUGAUCCACUCGCUACACAGUCGGAGGUUCAAGGGUGUUCCAGUUUUCUCCAUACAUUUGUGUCACUUAUCCAUUUUUUUACAAGAUGUGAAAAUAUAUUUAGGGUGUUAUUAAAUAAACAUUCACAUACAAAUACCAGUCUUUCAUGAGCUUUUAAUGAAAGUUUAUAUUUAUUAGACAAGUAUUUGAUUCUCUAGGUCAGAAUGACUUAUAAUACUCUGUCUUUUGUUCCUGUAGAAACUCUACACAGCAAAAAUUGGAGUGUUGAAAUUUCAGGGUUAAAAAUUUCCGAGUUGAUUUUCACUCCCAGAGUGUAAUUUCAACACAUUCUGAUUUAAAUGGUGUUCAGUGUUGGAGUUAUUUGGCAGAGUUGAUCAUGUCAGUGUUAACCCAACUCCGCAGAGACGUAAUUAAGCUCCGCCCACGCCUUUCACCUCUUCGGUUAGAGACAGAGAAGACAAGUCUGCGCCAUUUUCUACCUCUCAUGCAGCACUACACGAUCAAAGGGACCGCAAAAAACGUGUCCCAACAUGCAGACGGGUGUUUCACGUGUCUAGUUCACGUGUCUUGACAAUCAUGGGAACACUUCUAUGAUGCUGCAAGCAGCACAGGGUACAUUUCUUGGCGUCUGAAAACAGUCCAGAGGAAGAUUCUGCACAGCCACCAAAUAGCCCAAUUGACUUUUCUCCAGGAGGCCCAAAUUGGCAAAGGACUGUUAAUGUUGAAGGGCAGCUUGAUGGUGAUGCUUGCCAAGAGGCCAUGUCUUUGCUUAACCAUACAGCAGACAAUUCCCUGAUUUUCCAGAAGAUGAGAGAAACCUUUCAGCAUCGUCAGAAGUUUGUUUGACUAAUAGAUGGAUGACUGUUUAAAACUUUGUCAUAAUGCCUCCCUGUUCUCAUUCAAACUUAACGUGUUACAUUUGAAAAGUUUUUAGUUAACUCUUGUGACUGUUUGUCCUCAGCCUACGACCAAGAAAUGGCCUCCCUGUUGUUGCUGUUACAUCUCCUUCCACCACCUCCAGGGGGACUGAAGUCUCCAAAAAAUAGUGCAUGUGAUGCAGUUGAAAGACUUGUUGUAUUUCAUAAGUCAUGCUGCAGUUUGGAGGAGCAUCUCCGCAACCAGCAGGGUCGGCAGCCGUACCUCCUCGCUGUUGGGCGUCAGAAGAGCAAGAUUGACAGCUUCUACAUCACCAUGGAUAAGCGUCUCAUCCCAUGCAAGGCAAACCGCUCCCUCGGGGCAUGUGAUGAACUUUUCAAAGCACAUUUUGUGUUUAAUUUGUCUUACGAUGUGGCACUUGUGAAUUUUUAUACAUUCCUGCAGACAACAGUGUAUAACAUUGAUGUGGGGAAAAUGAAGGAGUCACCCAGAGUUAAAGACUUGAGAGCAAGACUGCUUAACCAGCCAGUAGCAUUCUCACCCUGUGAGUAAGAAGCUAUAACAAUGCUGACCUGUUUCAUGUGUUGACAAACAAGCUAUUUACAGAGAAUUUUCAUGACCAUCAUCAUGCAUUCAGAGUAUUACGAAGUGCGGAAAGAUGUUUACUAAAAAUGUCUGCGCUUAAAUUUCAUAAACCGUUUCAUAUUCAAAGCUCAUAUAAUGUUUUGGAUGAAAGUUUGUACAUUAUACCUUCAUUCACAAUGUUUUAAUUCAACUGACUGCAAGGGAGAAAAGGAAUAAAUGUUUUUGAAAAUGUUUUUUAUUGUGAUGAAUUCUUAUUAAUAUAAGUAUAUAUUUAAUUAAUACAUUUAAAAUGAAUUAACAUUUUUUCAGUGUAGAUAAUUGACACAUUAGGGAGUGUAAUUAACACUACCAAAAUAGUUAAAAAAAUUAACUCGGAGCAGUGUUAGUUGUCUAAUCCCUCAGUGUUACUUUAACACUGUUUUGUGAGUUAAUAAAGGAACUCUGGUAGAGUGUUAAAUGUUUAACUAUUUUGAAAGUGUUAAUUUAACUCUGGAGAGUGUGGAGCUAUAUAAACUCUCAAAAAGUGUUGAAAUCAACUCUGUGGGAGUUAAUUCAACACUGGACAUUUUGCUGUGUACGUCCGCCGUCGCUGGCAGUUAUCGACCUGCUGCUCAACAAACACCGUGAGCAGAAGGACAUGCUGAAGCUUGUGGACCAGGACUACGCUGCUCUAGUUCACAACUCCUGCACAGACCCCAACAGCAUGCUCCACCCGACAACAAAACUACAUGUUCUACAAUAUGUAAAGCACCUCAGCAAAUUGUUGAACACCAGUUCCUCUUUAAACGUCAGUCCAGAAAAACUGCAAGAGAGGCAGAAACUCUGUCACUCUCUGACAGAGGCGAGUGAGACUACUAGUGUGCAGGUUGUUACGAUGUCUGUUGUAAUUGUUCACCCACCUCCACCUGUUCAGAUGCUGACACAAGCUUCUGUUGAGAAGAUUGUACCCAACAUCAUGGAAAAGCAGCAGCAACAUAAACAGGAACAACAACAACAACCGGGGCAAAAGAAGGGCCGCACGAAAGACAAAAGUUCUUUCAGCUAGAACUGGAUGCCACACAGAAAAGUUCCAUCUGGCAUUUUAAGUGCAAUUAUUUGUAAUAUUCAUGUUGUAAUUAGUUUAUAUAUUGGUUUCUUGCAUUUGUGACUUUGUACAUUGAAAUAUUAUCAUUUUAUUAUUUAUAUUUGGUUUUAAUAUUCAUUAGUUUAAUUAUUUAAAUGUCUUUAUUUCUGUAACAUGUUUGUUUGUAUAGGACUAUACAAAUCGGUUGAUGUAUCUGUGUUCAACAUUUACUGUCCAAGUUAAUAAAUAUAUUUCAAUUACUAAUGUCUACAUGUGUCAUCAAUAAGUGAAUCACUGUAGUGAAAUUUGGUCUGUAAGUACAAUCUAGUGAUAACCAGUAGACAGCAGAUUGGGGUAAACAUUUCCUUUA
Molecule: long non-coding RNA, 5922 nt
Organism: Gasterosteus aculeatus aculeatus (three-spined stickleback)
Lineage: Eukaryota; Metazoa; Chordata; Actinopteri; Perciformes; Gasterosteidae
Source: Ensembl